GUCAGUUGCUUUGUGUUUGUGUGCGAGUCGAGAUCUGCUUCAGUCGAAAAUUUCUUUUGUCGCGAAAUCCUCGUCUUUUGUGCGAUAAAAUGUGAAAAAUGUCCUCAAAAUUGUGACCCAGGGGACAAUGUAACAAAGUGACUUUGUGCGGAAGCUGCAGAAAUCAACUUUGCAAAAAAAAAAAACGAAAUAUUAAUUGAAUUUAGCAACAAAACGAAGAAAGUCAAUUGCAGAAAAGUUGUUGGGAGACGAAGAGACGCGCAACGCGAUGGAUAAUGAGAAUGCAAAGUUGGCUGCAGAAAUGUUUGAUCAUUUCUGCAGUGUCACAACAAUGCGCCAGAUUAUGGGGCUCUAUCGGAAUAUGAUGGAUGCCGUGGGUCUACGUCCGGGUCCACUGAAUGACUUCUACCCCAAACUCAAGGCGAAAAUACGCAAUUGGAAGGCACAGGCGCUGUGGAAGAAAUUCGACACAAGAGCCGGCCAUCGGGUGUACAACAAAGGUACAGCGUGCAAUGGGAUUCGGGUGCUUGUUAUUGGGGCGGGUCCCUGUGGUCUCCGGACGGCAAUUGAGGCUCAACUUUUGGGAGCUAAAGUGGUGGUUGUGGAGAAACGCGACAGAAUAUCUCGCAACAAUGUGCUUCAUUUGUGGCCUUUUGUCAUAACGGAUUUGAGAAAUUUGGGCGCUAAGAAGUUCUACGGGAAAUUCUGUGCUGGCUCCAUUGAUCACAUUUCCAUCAGGCAACUGCAGUGUAUUCUACUGAAGGUGGCUCUCCUGUUGGGUGUUGAAGUGCACGAAGGAGUGUCAUUUGUUAAGCUAAUCGAGCCAAAAGAUGGUUGUGGCUGGCGCGCCCAAGUGAGCCCAGAAGACCAUGCUGUCUCACACUAUGAAUUCGAUGCACUUAUUGGAGCGGAUGGCAAGCGCAAUACACUCGAGGGUUUCGUCCGGAAGGAAUUUCGUGGAAAAUUAGCAAUUGCUAUUACGGCAAAUUUCAUCAAUAAACGAACUGAGGCGGAAGCUAAAGUGGAAGAAAUCAGUGGAGUGGCCUUUAUAUUCAAUCAAUCCUUCUUCAAGGAAUUGUACUAUCGAACUGGUAUUGAUUUGGAGAAUAUUGUUUACUACAAAGAUGAGACACACUACUUUGUGAUGACAGCAAAGAAAAUGAGUCUCAUUGAUAAGGGUGUUAUAAUACAGGAUUCAGCUGAUCCAGCUGAACUCUUGUCCCCGUCGAAUGUUAACACGGACAAAUUGUUGGAUUAUGCACGCGAAGCUGCGGAAUUUUCAACAAAAUAUCAAAUGCCUAAUUUGGAAUUUGCAGUGAAUCACUACGGGAAGCCCGAUGUGGCAAUGUUUGAUUUUACAUCAAUGUUCCAAGCUGAGAAUUCUAGUCGGGUUUGCGUGCGGAAGAAUUAUCGACUGCUACAGUGUCUUGUGGGUGAUAGUCUCCUUGAGCCAUUCUGGCCAACGGGAUCGGGCUGUGCACGUGGCUUCCUAUCCAGCAUGGAUGCAGCCUAUGCAAUAAAGCUUUUUGCAAAUCCACGCAAUAGUUGCCUAGCUGUUCUAGCACAGCGAGAGAGUUUGUACCGAUUGCUGGGGCAGACGACUCCGGAAAAUCUCAAUAGAGACAUUAUGGCCUACACAUUGGACCCAUCGACGCGAUAUCCAAAUCUCAAUAAGACCCUGGUGCAGGUGCAACAGGUGGAGAUGCUCCUCGAUGCGGACGAUGAGACGAUCUAUCAGCAAACUUUCAUGGAUACAAAUGCCAUUUCAGCCGUACCAGAUGCUCCGGUGCGAAGGAAGCGAAGAACUGGAGACACCACACCACUUGGGAUGGUUCUGCUGCGAUGGAUAAAGUCCCAAUUGAAAGCGUAUGAAUUUGCAAAUAAUCUAACAGAAGUUGCACAAUGUUUUACCCAUGGGAGAGUUCUCUGUGCACUAAUUCAUCGAUAUCGUCCGGAAUUGUUGGAUUUCUCCACACUUGGAGAUCUCCCAGCUGAACAAUGCAAUGCCAAAGCCUUUGAUAUUCUUGAGAAUGAUUUGGGAAUACCACGAGUUAUGCAAGCCAGUGAAUCGGUUAACAUUGAGAAGAUUGAAUCGAAACUCUGGCUAAACUACCUGGAACAAAUCUGUGAGCUCUUCCGCGGGGAAAUUCCUCAUGUUAAGCAUCCAAAAUUGGACUUUGCUGAGUUGAAGGAGAAGCAACGAAGCAAUAUUCCGGACUUUUCGAAUUUGGUAAAGUCUUCGGGGAAACGGAAUGUGGUUGAGGUUGAAGCAAUUAAUCGACGAAUUACAUUGGAUGAGGAACGGAAUAAGAAUCGAUCAAGACGAUUGAAUUACGAACAGAUGCAAGCUGUACAAGCCGCAGAAGGUUCCCGGAGGGCAAAGAAGAGACGAAGUCAUGAGAAAUUUGCGAAUGUGGAAGAACAGAAGAAGCGUCUGCAAGAUAUACAAAAUAAUCGAAUGGAACGUCAGAGUAAGAGACGAUUGGAACGUGCUCGGCAGACUGAAAAUUUCUACAAGAGCUUACAUAUGCUACAAUUUAAUAGUUUCCUCCGUGAUACCGAUAGUUCAACACCAUUUGAAGACUACUCCCUCUAUGUCUAUCGCCAACAAGCUCCAGACUUUAAUGAUCGCGUUAAAGAUCUGGAGAGGAAGUUACUUUAUCCCGACCGGGAGAGAGGUUUCUACUCUGCUCUCGCAAGGGGAGCUCCUGAUGAGAAGUUCAGUAAUCGCAUCAAGUCGAUGGAAUCGAAAAUUGUCGGGAAGAAUGCGGGACUUGGGGACAAGAAGCCAAAAGAUCUACUUCGUGCCAUUGGGAAGAUUGAGAGUGAUGAUUGGAAUGUGCGGGAGAUUGAGAAGAAGAUUGAGCAAUCGAAGAAAGCCGAAGUGGGAAAAUCCCGGGAGAAGGUACCCAAGUGGAGUCGUGAGCAAUUCCUGGCGCGUCAGAGUAAGAUGUCCAAGCCAAUUGAUCGGCAGUCGUCGAUUGAUGAGAAAUUCAAGGAGAUCGACAUGACGAUCAAGUCACUCGAUAAGCAACUCAAGGAGGGUCACAACUUGGACAGAGGUGAGCGUGGGAGGAAUAAAGUGGCAUCAAUUGCAGGGCAAUUUGUGAAGAAAACUCCCGGAACGUCGGCGGAAGAGAAGCAAGGCUCGAAGUCGUUGAUGAAUUCCAAACUGGGGCUGGUGCUCACGUCUCAGGGAGUUUCGGAGAUUUGUCACUUUUGCAAGCAGAAAGUGUACCUCAUGGAGAAAAUUGCGGCAGAGGGAUUGGUGCUACAUAGAUCCUGCCUCAAGUGCCACCAUUGCCACACAAAUCUCCGACUUGGUGGCUAUGCCUUCGAUCGUGACAGCCCGGAUGGGCUCUUCUACUGCAAUCAGCACUUUAAAUUGCCACCAAAACCAUACAAACCCGUCACCAAGAGGCAGCCUUCACAUCCGAAACAUGAGGAAAUUGCGGCAAAAACUUCCCGGAUUUCCCCUGAAAAGGUGUCACGGGCGGAAAAUAUUGUGGCCAUGGAUUUACUGGAUCGCGGUCAGACACCCGAACGGAUUGAAUUUGAGAAUACCGACGCAAUGUCUGACGGUGAACGUUCUCUCAAUAAUAUAAUUGAUGAGAAUGAAUGGACAGAUAGGAACUUUGGCACGGGAACAGAUGAAACGGAUUCGGAUCUCUCAAGUUCGGAUUCAUCAGACUCAGAAACGGACUCUGAUAUGUACGAAGAGGCAAAUGAUUCGCCAAUUGGGGCGGAAACACUGCAAUUGGCAACGGAUUGGAUUGGAAAGCAGAGGAUAUGUUCCCUUCAGGAUAGCGAUGGGGAUGAAUUCUAUGAUUCCAGUGAGGAUGAUGAUGUGGAUACGCAAACGGAAGGGGAGGAAUUGGCAAGAGCACGGGAGAUUCGUAUGCAGGAGGUGAAACUCAUGCCACCCGUUUAUCCAGCAACAGACACCGAAACUGAGGUUCAAUCGGAUUCAGAGUCCUCAUCGGUGGAAAUUGAACCAAAUUCAGCCACAGAAAUUUCCACAGAUUCCGAAUUUGAUCACGAUCCAAUUGCAAAGACUCCGCCACAGAUUGUAAUUGAUGAUACGUACAUAAAGCGACCAACACGGGUGCACAUAAGGCAGGGAAUGAUUGCAAAUGGGCUGAAUAGGCAGGUGGCGAAGGAGAACACCGCGGAGAGCAAAGUGAGUGAUUUGAGUAAGAUUGAAUUGGAUAUAAAGCCACUAGUUCAGGUGGAUCCAUCCGUACUGGCGAGCACUAAUCGCAUCCCAUUGAAGAAUCCCCGUCCUGGGGAUUAUUUGCUCAAUAAGGCCCCAAGUACGGAGGGGAUUGCCUCAAAGAGGAGUCUUGAGCUCAAGAAGAGGUACUUGCUGGGUGAAUCAGGGAGUACGGGACUCAUGAAGUCUGGCUCGACGUCUGUUCUCGAUUCAACAUUCAAGAAUUUCCAUUCAAACAUUUCACAAUGUCAGAAAUUGCUCAAUCGCGGUGGGGCGGAUAUUAGUCCAACAAUGCAAAUGUUCCUUAAGCAGCAAACAAAUAGAUUGAGUGGGACAAAGGAGGAGAAGAAGGAGGUUGAAUCGAAUCUAAUUAAUGAAAAAAUCAAUGUUUAUGGGAUGAAUAAUAAUUUGAAGGAGAUUGCGGAGAAGAGAAUAGAUGAGGAGCAUGUGAUGCCAACGGAAACGAUAAAUACUGCCCUUGUGGAGAAUAAAUUGAAGGAUUUCAUAAGUUGUAGUAAGAGCAAUGAUCCAGCUGAUGUUCCAAUUAUUGAUCUCACAAAUGUUGAUCUCCCCGAAGAGAUGAUUAGGGCUAAUCAGGAAUUUAUUGAGAAGCUCGAAUGUAGUGAUGAUGUGGAGAAUAACAAGGUGAUAGAAGUUAUUGAUCUCACAAUUGAAGCGUCUCCUCCGGUGAAAUUUGAUUUGGGCGCGAGGUGUGAGAAGAGGGAUGAGCAAGUUGUCCCGGAAUCAAUUUCAUCGAUUAAGAGUAAAAUUGAGGCGGAUAAAUCGGCAAUUGAUUCCCUUCUACGGCAACGGGAUAUGUGUGAUGUGCAGGAGACGACAAUUCAGGUGCCCGUGCUGAAUUCGUGGGAACCAAAGAAGAAGCCAAGAUCCGAUUCGGACGUGGAAUCCGAUAGUUUGUCAAAUUCCUCGAGUACAUCGAGUUUAGAGGAGAUCCCUCAUUAUAUUCUCGACUCAACCACAAGUCCCGAUACGCAGAUUAAUGAGAGAUUCGUCCCACGGCUUGAGGUGCGGGAUACAACAGGGGAAUUGAUGCAGAUUGAUAGUUUAAUGAUUGUCGAUGGGAAGUACAUUGGGGAUCCGGAGGAUUUGCAAUUGCUGGAGAAAUUGCCCGAAAUUCCGGCAGCAAGUGCGGAGGUGUCGCAACCUUCGAGUGCAAAUGAAUGUGAUAUUAGUUGCAAUAGUGAGACAAAGAGGCAAAAUGACGUGGGUAGGGGUAUAAGUGAGGUGUUGCGGAGGAAUGAUUCAUUCAAAUUCGACGCACGCAAUAAGAGUAAGAUAGAAUCAUUGAAGCAUUUACCGUUGAAUCUGGAGACGAAAGAGUCACAGAGUGAUCUUGAGUCACCAAUUGUUGAUAGAGAUAAGACCCCAACGGCAAACCUGGCGCCGGGAUUUAUUGGGCAAUCAGACUCAGAGACAGAGAUUACGGGGCAAGUACUCACGGAGACUGAACUGUCCGACUGGACGGCUGAUGAUGCAGUUUCGGAGAAUUUUGUUGACAUUGAAUUUGCCCUGAAUUCCAAUAAGGGUACCAUUAAGAGGAAUAAGAAGGCAAAGAAGAAGGCUGUGCCACCGGAGCCACUUGUUCACCAUCAGCAAUUGAGUGACGGUGACCUGGAGACAAACAUAAUGAAGAGCUUUGACAUAGACAAUAUUGAAUUCAUGGAUACAGGGUCUGAUGGUUGCGUUGAAACAUACUCCACCACAAAUAAGGGUAUGCUGCGGAAUCGUGGCUAUGUGGAAUUUGUUGAUCAAAUUCCCGAACACGGAAACACCAAUCGAUACUGCCCCAGUUACCGCAGCGAUACUGGCUAUUCCAGUUCGUCGCGCAUAAAUUUAGGCUAUGCAAAACCCGAAUCGAGUUCUUCAAGAGAAAUCCCUGGGAUUGAUUACAUCGAACAGGGAGCUUGUGUGUUGUCAUCCUCAAGUGAGGGAGAGCUCAAGACUCCCGUAAACGAAGUCACAAAAUCCGUCUUUACGGAUACUUCGUCGUCUCAGGUUAUUAAGACUCAAGACUCUGAACAACAUUCCUCCAGUGUGAAUGAAAUUGAGGAUGAUAGUCUUGUUCUCAUUACCUCCCAAACGAAUACAACGGAAGACAGUGAAGCCCUAACUGUUGUAACGAGUCCCCUUGAUUCAGCUGACAAGAAUGCCGUUGAACAAUCCUUCGGGGAGGCUGUUAAGGCCAUUUCAAAGGAUGAAUAUCGCAACACCCCCGAAGAGAUGAGCUACGAAGACUACGUGCGGAAGCUACAGAUGAAGAUUUCGCAGAUUAGCAAUUCCCGGGAUUCAAUUGAUGUUAAAAAAUCCAAAAGGCGCUCAUCGAAGGGAGAAGGAGACGCCAGUGCGUCGGAGAUUCCUUCACCAACGAGCUUUACGCCAAAAUUGAGUAUUUUUGAUGAUAAGAUCAAAGAACCGCCCACGCUGACAAAGAAGCUGGAGGAGAUUACGAAGGAACGAGCAAAGCAGAAGGAUCUCAUUCAUGAUCUCGUGAUGGAUAAGUUGCAGACAAAGAAGCAAUUGAAUGCCGAGAAGAGACUCAAUCGUAGUCGAACACGUCAAAUGGGUUGUACAAGUGGGAGUUUGGCACUGUCAGGACUCAAAUCCUUCGAUAUACCGCACUGUCAUCCAGUUCCGGGUGAGAAGCGCACAACACCAUCCAAAGUAUUUGAACCACUUCAGUCACCGAGUAAAGUUCUCGAGACGGCAAUUUCGUCGGCGGAGAAGCUAAAAGAUAGGCCACUCAGUGAGAAUGUUGACAGUAAAUUCGGCGCGGGGAUUGUUCUUCCUGUUUCACCGAAGAAGCUGACAAAGACUCAGUCCUUCUGUGGGUACAGCUCACGCUUGGUGUCGGCGGAAAAUGAUCUCAUUGCUGAGUCCUUCAAGACUCCCAUUCCACCACCACGCAGUGGAAGGAGGAUUGAUGAUAAAACUCUUGCUCAUUCGGACAAGUUGCGCCAAGAGGCACGAGCUAGGGCACGCUUGAUGUCCAAUGAGGAUUUGGGAUUGAGUCCCGAGGAGAAGAUGCAAAUGCUGCGGAAGCGCUACCAACUCGAUGCAGAUCUCGAUACACCCAACAAGUCUGACGAUGCCAAAGUGCGUGAACAGAAGUUGAUGGCAUCGAAGAGUGUGAGUGAUAUUUCCACGGCAAAUUCCUUUGUUGCAUUUGAUAAGAGCAUCGAUGGGAGUGAUGGGAAGAGCACCCCGCGGAAGUUCUUCAAGGGGGCAGAAUUUACGUCAGAUUCCAAUUUAGUCAGUGAUGUGGGGGUGGUGAAUGACAAAACGCCCAAUGGUGGGAAGAAGGAGAGCCCCAAACGGCUGAGUGAUAGGCGAUCCAGGAGUAAGGAUCCAGAGCGCAGGAAAAGUAUUAUACAGACAGUAUCGGACUUUUUUCACAAGAAAAAGGACUCGAAGGAUGCCAUCAAUCAAAUCAACAAAGACAAAGCCGAUGGGGUGUUUGGUCUCUUCAAGUUAUCAUCGAAGCAUAAAGAGAAAUCAAAGUCGUGCUUUGAUGUACGAGAAUUAAUGAUUUUUUGUGAAAAGGAGAAUUCCCCAUCGUAUUCGGAAAGAAGUAAAUCAGAGGAUUGCCUAAAGGCUGACUGGAGGAAUCGAAGGAGCGAAGAUGAACUCACACCACCCCCAAUACCGCCUUUACCGCUGAAUUAUCAACGAUCUGACGAUGAGAGUACGUCAGUUGCGGAGAAUCGCGAAUUAAAACGCCUCAAGGCGGUGUCCAAAGCAUCACGUCAGGCUGAAUUGAAGAGAUUGCGGAUUGCGCAGGAAAUUCAGCGAGAGCAGGAGGAGAUAGAAGUACAAAUAAAGGAAUUAGAGGCACGUGGUGUCAUCAUUGAGAAAGUACUUCGAGGCGAAGGAUCCUUUGGGGAAUACUUCAAUGCCAACGAUCCCAAUGGGUCCAGUGAUGAGAAAUAUCUUAAGGAAUUGCUAGAAAUAUGGCGAAAAAUAACGCAAUUGAAAAAACGUGAUCAAGAAUUAGGAAUUAGAGAACAAGAACUGAAAUUGGAGCAUCGUCAUGCUCAGCUGAAGGAGCAACUCAAUAUGCGGCUGUCAUGUAGCAAAUUGGACAAAAGCUCAGCCGAUGUGGCGGCAGAGGGGGCAAUUUUGAAUGAAAUGCUCGAAAUUGUGGCCAAACGGGCUGCCCUUCGGCCAACGGAUGGGCUACCGACAGCCGAUGAAGUAAGUCCUGAAGAUGAGAUUGUUGUCGCACCCACCCUCAAAUGGGGGCCAGUUCUUGUUGUCUUUAGUCUCCUCUAUGCAUGCAUUCUUUGGUUUGCUUACAGUAGAUGUUAGUUUUUAAUGAUUCCCCCUUAAAGGCACGCAGUGAUGUUUUUUUUUAAUAAAAAAAAAUAAAUGGAGAAUGGAGAAAUUUUGUGAUGAAGAUAUGAUUUGACCGUGACAAAUAGAAUGGAUUUUUUUCAUGAAAUACAGAAAAUAAUAAUUUAUUCACAUGAGACAUGUUUGGGGACGAUGAAUUUUAAAAGAAAAAAGAAGACAUAUAGCGCGAGAAUAUUCUAAGUUUUAAAAUAAGAAUUUUUCAAAAAAAAACCUCUUUUAAACAACAGAAAAACAUUGUAUUUGUAACUUUUAAUUUUAAUUCUAUAAGAAGCCUACCAAAAAAAAUGAGAAACGUCACAAGAAAAGUUAAUAUAUUAAAAAAAAAGAGAAGAAAUAAUGCAUAGAAAAAGAUUCUCAAGUAGUUUCUUUCAAAAUAAAGAGUGAUAAAAAAGUGAAAUUCCCAGUUUUGAGCACAAUGUUAAAUAAUUAAUUAUAUUUCAGACUCUAUCCCCCCCCCCCUCUACUUUUAUUUUAAUUAAUUAAUUAAUUACAUUAAAAAGUGUAUAACAAAAAUAUAUUGGUUUUAUUAAAUCGCAAUAUACUGUA
Lutzomyia longipalpis is the source of this 9130-nucleotide RNA transcript. It is a transcript of the gene named F-actin-monooxygenase Mical, with no coding region annotated. Lineage: Eukaryota; Metazoa; Arthropoda; Insecta; Diptera; Psychodidae. The transcript is spliced from 16 exons. The record is from RefSeq and is a predicted model, not a curated record.